This 82-nucleotide transfer RNA is filed under the name Elusimicrobiales bacterium. RNAcentral describes it as "tRNA-Leu". It matches the Rfam family "tRNA". Rfam says of the family: Transfer RNA (tRNA) molecules are approximately 80 nucleotides in length. Their secondary structure includes four short double-helical elements and three loops (D, anti-codon, and T loops). Further hydrogen bonds mediate the characteristic L-shaped molecular structure. tRNAs have two regions of fundamental functional importance: the anti-codon, which is responsible for specific mRNA codon recognition, and the 3' end, to which the tRNAs corresponding amino acid is attached (by aminoacyl-tRNA synthetases). tRNAs cope with the degeneracy of the genetic code in two manners: having more than one tRNA (with a specific anti-codon) for a particular amino acid; and 'wobble' base-pairing, i.e. permitting non-standard base-pairing at the 3rd anti-codon position. The record is from RNAcentral. Lineage: Bacteria; Pseudomonadati; Elusimicrobiota; Elusimicrobia; Elusimicrobiales.
GCUCCUGUGGUGAAAUUGGCAGACACGCCAGACUUAGGAUCUGGUGGAGUGAUCCGUGUCGGUUCGAGUCCGACCUGGAGUA